RNAcentral lists this ribosomal RNA (434 nucleotides) under uncultured bacterium. RNAcentral's name for it is "partial 16S ribosomal RNA". It matches the Rfam family "Bacterial small subunit ribosomal RNA", at positions 29 to 507 of the family's 1533-position model. The record is from RNAcentral.
AGCGAACGCUGGCGGCAGGCCUAACACAUGCAAGUCGAACGAACCUUUCGGGGUUAGUGGCGGACGGGUGAGUAACACGUGGGAACGUGCCUUUAGGUUCGGAAUAACUCAGGGAAACUUGUGCUAAUACCGAAUGUGCCCUUCGGGGGAAAGAUUUAUCGCCUUUAGAGCGGCCCGCGUCUGAUUAGCUAGUUGGUUGAGGUAAUGGCUCACCAAGGCGACGAUCAGUAGCUGGUCUGAGAGGAUGAUCAGCCACAUUGGGACUGAGACACGGCCCAAACUCCUACGGGAGGCAGCAGUGGGGAAUCUUGCGCAAUGGGCGAAAGCCUGACGCAGCCAUGCCGCGUGAAUGAUGAAGGUCUUGGGAUUGUAAAAUUCUUUCACCGGGGACGAUAAUGACGGUACCCGGAGAAGAAGCCCCGGCUAACUUCGUG